GAGAAUCAAAUUAAUAGUAUUUACCUUUUUCUUUUAAUGUUAUUUAUUUAAAUAAACUCAGUCAAUGUUGUUCCUUAGUUUGUGCUGAAUACGUGGCCAGUAAGUUAUGUUAGUGGCUUUAUGGAGAGAUUUUAGCAAAUCUCUGAAACCGUCAUAUUUACUGUGUAUAAGUAGGAAAUCUUAAUUUAAUGAAAAAAACAACUUCCACAAUAUAUUCUCAA
RNAcentral lists this long non-coding RNA (221 nucleotides) under Lathyrus oleraceus (garden pea). RNAcentral describes it as "Pisum sativum (pea) long non-coding RNA (PSAT_LNC003493)". The record is from RNAcentral. Lineage: Eukaryota; Viridiplantae; Streptophyta; Magnoliopsida; Fabales; Fabaceae.